AGUGAACGCUGGCGGUAGGCCUAACACAUGCAAGUCGAACGGCAGCACAGUAAGAGUUUGCUCUUACGGGUGGCGAGUGGCGGACGGGUGAGGAAUACAUCGGAAUCUACUUUUUCGUGGGGGAUAACGUAGGGAAACUUACGCUAAUACCGCAUACGACCUACGGGUGAAAGCAGGGGAUCUUCGGACCUUGCGCGAUUGAAUGAGCCGAUGUCGGAUUAGCUAGUUGGCGGGGUAAAGGCCCACCAAGGCGACGAUCCGUAGCUGGUCUGAGAGGAUGAUCAGCCACACUGGAACUGAGACACGGUCCAGACUCCUACGGGAGGCAGCAGUGGGGAAUAUUGGACAAUGGGCGCAAGCCUGAUCCAGCCAUACCGCGUGGGUGAAGAAGGCCUUCGGGUUGUAAAGCCCUUUUGUUGGAAAAGAAAAGCAGCAGGUUAAUACCCCGCUGUUCUGACGGUACCCAAAGAAUAAGCACCGGCUAACUUCGCG
Molecule: ribosomal RNA, 492 nt
Filed under: uncultured bacterium
Lineage: Bacteria
Description: partial 16S ribosomal RNA
Rfam family: Bacterial small subunit ribosomal RNA
Source: RNAcentral